AACUUUUUAGGAAGUGCGUCUCCUACUGGUACAAUGGAUUUAGGAAGUGCGUCUCCUAUUGGUAGAACUGAAUUUAGGAAGUGCGUCUCCUAUGGUAAAACUGAACUUAGGAGGAAAUGCAUCUCCUAUGGGUAAAACUAAAACUUAGGAGGAAAUGCAUCUCCUAUGGGUAAAGACGUGGAAUGUAUGCCUCUGUUAUCUGGGCGGGCUCCCAACUUCAACACUUAAAAGUAAAAAAACUGAAUGUAUGCCUCUAUUAUCUGGGCGGGCUCCCAAUUUCAACGCUUAAAAGUAAAACUGAAUGUAUGCCUCUAUUAUCUGGGCGGGCUCCCAAUUUCAACGCUUAAAAGUAAAAACUGAAAUGUAUUCCUCUCGUUAUACAGGUGGGCGCCUGGAACAUGAAAUGCAAAUACUGAAAUGUAUUCCUCUCGUUAUUCAGGUGGGCGCCUGGUGGUAAAGAUAUGAAAAAUGAUAUGCCCGCAUUAUACUGGUGGGUGACCUAGAACAGAAAUGAAAAACAAAAAUGUAUUCCCGCAUUAUACUGGUGGGUGACCUAGAACAUAAAUGAAAAGACAAAAAUGUAUUCCCGCAUUAUACUGGUGGGUGACCUAGAACAGAAAUGAAAAGACAAAAAUGUAUUCCUCUCGUUAUUCAGGUGGGCGCCUGUCUUCAAUAAUAAUUUUGAAAAUAAGAUCCUAUUUGAGGGCGGAUGAUCCCAACAUAUCCUAUUUGAGGGCGGAUGAACCCGUCAUAUCCUUAAGACUUGAAAAUAUCUUACCUCAAAACUUGCUGGGGAUUAUUUUGCUGGGGAUGAAUUUUCCCUUUCUUCCUUCCCCAUUAUGGGUUGUCCGACCCUCUUGAAAUUUGGUCGAAAAUCCGUCGAAGAUGCUUCUACAUCUCGAUGAUCCGCUGGGGAUAACACUGCUGAAGAUAACUCUGCUGAGUAAAUAUGUUAUCUUACUCCUUCCAGAACUACUUCCUUUUGAGUAGGAUAUUUCAUUCCCCUGCAAACUACUUCCCCUU
RNAcentral lists this long non-coding RNA (1023 nucleotides) under Nicotiana tabacum (common tobacco). Its description in RNAcentral is "long non-coding RNA (NTAB_LNC011992)". The record is from RNAcentral. Lineage: Eukaryota; Viridiplantae; Streptophyta; Magnoliopsida; Solanales; Solanaceae.